GCUGGGUGUGGUGGCACAUGCCUAUAAUCCCAGCAAUUUGGGAGGCUGAGGCAGGAGGAUUGAGAGUUCAAAGCCAGCCUCAGCAGAUCAGCAAGGCACUCAGCAACUCAGUGAGACCCUGUCUCUA
This 127-nucleotide small RNA is filed under the name Marmota monax (woodchuck). The record is from RNAcentral. Lineage: Eukaryota; Metazoa; Chordata; Mammalia; Rodentia; Sciuridae.